CAGGGAGGAUAUUACCGAGUUUACAACUCCCAACCCCUGUGAACAUACCUAUACGUUGCCUCGGCGGAUCAGCCCGCGCCCCGUAAAACGGGACGGCCCGCCCGAGGACCCCUAAACUCUGUUUUUAGUGGAACUUCUGAGUAAAACAAACAAAUAAAUCAAAACUUUCAACAACGGAUCUCUUGGUUCUGGCAUCGAUGAAGAACGCAGCAAAAUGCGAUAAGUAAUGUGAAUUGCAGAAUUCAGUGAAUCAUCGAAUCUUUGAACGCACAUUGCGCCCGCCAGUAUUCUGGCGGGCAUGCCUGUUCGAGCGUCAUUUCAACCCUCAAGCUCAGCUUGGUGUUGGGACUCGCGGUAACCCGCGUUCCCCAAAUCGAUUGGCGGUCACGUCGAGCUUCCAUAGCGUAGUAAUCAUACACCUCGUUACUGGUAAUCGUCGCGGCCACGCCGUAAAACCCCAACUUCUGAAUGUUGACCUCGGAUCAGGUAGGAAUACCCGCUGAACUUAAGCAUAUC
Molecule: ribosomal RNA, 516 nt
Filed under: fungal sp. WEF4
Lineage: Eukaryota; Fungi
Description: eukaryotic LSU rRNA
Rfam family: 5.8S ribosomal RNA (bases 163-316)
Source: RNAcentral